This 316-nucleotide long non-coding RNA is filed under the name Carica papaya (papaya). RNAcentral describes it as "long non-coding RNA (CPAP_LNC005868)". The record is from RNAcentral. Lineage: Eukaryota; Viridiplantae; Streptophyta; Magnoliopsida; Brassicales; Caricaceae.
CCAUCCAAGUAAACUAGUUCAACUUUAAAUUAGGUUGGUGUAACUUCCACUUGAGUUUGUGUGACCAAGCUUUGAUUUAUGUUAUUCAGCCCGAGCCUAAUACAUGCUUCCCUAUUGUAUUCUUAAAUUUUGUUAUUAUCAUUCCACAAACCUUGAAUUAUCCUGUUUAAUGCAUCCUUGAAUUUCUUUAACAUCCCUCUUGUAAUCGAACCAUUAGGUAGCUGAAUUGCAUCAAUGUUCUUGUAUUCUAUCUUAUUUACAACAAGGACUAUGAUUACAAGAUCAUCUACCACCCUGGGAGAGGUAAUAUAGUUGC